Cyprinus carpio (common carp) is the source of this 775-nucleotide long non-coding RNA. RefSeq lists it as uncharacterized. The transcript has 3 exons. The record is from RefSeq and is a predicted model, not a curated record. NCBI's taxonomy places the organism in Eukaryota, Metazoa, Chordata, Actinopteri, Cypriniformes, Cyprinidae.
AUGCCACCAAGCUAAGAGCAUCAUCACCUCCAUCAUCAUCAUCAUCAUCAACAACAACAACAACAACAACAGAAAGCUGCAAGAAAUGUUUAACUGAAUUAAAACGAGUCUAAUAUCCCUGCUAUUUGCGCGACUUGUUUCGCUUCUUCCACGGGAGGAUCUCCAUCUAUCCAAACAAGCUGCUUGGAGAGGCUUGAGAAUCUUCACGCACUGAAUCGUUCAUGUGGUGCCAACGCAGGACGGACUGAAGAAGGAGUCGGGACAGCUUUUUUUCUUUUCUUCUUCUUCUUCUCUUUUCGACAAAUCCCAAACAAACUCUCACGGCUAUCCGAAGGGGCUCUUGGAGAGACGACGCGCCCUCGCUCACACUCUCAUUUCAUCUCUUUGGCUGGAAGUGUGUUGCACGCGAACUGUUUUAAUGUUUGGGAUUCAGGAAAAUAUACCAAGAGGGGGGACCACUAUGAAAGAGGAACCGCUGGGCAGUGGCAUGAAUUCGGUCCGAUCGUGGAUGCACACGGCUGGGGUGGUGGAUGCGAACACGGCCGCCCAGAGUGGAGUUGGUCUGGCACGGGCGCACUAUGAGAAACAACCGCCAUCCAACCUCAGAAAAUCCAAUUUUUUCCACUUCGUGCUGGCGCUUUAUGACAGACAGGGACAGCCAGUGGAGAUCGAAAGGACAGCUUUUGUGGACUUUGUGGAAAAGGAGAAAGAACCUAACAGUGAAAAAAACUAACAAUGGGAUACAUUACAAACUACAACUAUUGUACAGCAACGG